Molecule: ribosomal RNA, 441 nt
Filed under: uncultured bacterium
Lineage: Bacteria
Description: partial 16S ribosomal RNA
Rfam family: Bacterial small subunit ribosomal RNA
Source: RNAcentral
GAUGAACGCUGGCGGCGUGCCUAAUACAUGCAAGUCGAACGGGGAGUAGCAAUACUCUUAGUGGCGAACGGGUGAGUAACGCGUUGGUACCUGCCCCGAAGCGGGGGAUAACGGACCGAAAGGUCCGCUAAUACCCCAUGUGCUCGGUAACGAGUAAAGGUGAAAACCACUUUGGGAGGGGCCUGCGUCCCAUCAGCUAGUUGGUAAGGUAACGGCUUACCAAGGCGAUGACGGGUAGGGGACCUGAGAGGGUGGCCCCCCACAAUGGAACUGAAACACGGUCCAUACACCUACGGGUGGCAGCAGUAGGGAAUAUUGGUAAUGGGCGCAAGCCGGAACCAGCAACGCCGCGUGUGCGAUGACGGCCUUCGGGUUGUAAAGCACUUUUGACUGGGACGAGGAAGGACGGUACCGGUCGAAUCAGCCUCGGCUAACUACGUG